RNAcentral lists this ribosomal RNA (252 nucleotides) under uncultured bacterium. Its description in RNAcentral is "partial 16S ribosomal RNA". It matches the Rfam family "Bacterial small subunit ribosomal RNA", at positions 524 to 776 of the family's 1533-position model. The record is from RNAcentral.
UACGGAGGAUCCGGGCGUUAUCCGGAUUUAUUGGGUUUAAAGGGUGCGUAGGCGGGUUAUCAAGUCAGCGGUAAAAUCGUGGAGCUCAACUCCAUCCAGCCGUUGAAACUGAUGAUCUUGAGUGGGCGAGAAGUAUGCGGAAUGCGUGGUGUAGCGGUGAAAUGCAUAGAUAUCACGCAGAACUCCGAUUGCGAAGGCAGCAUACCGGCGCCCGACUGACGCUGAAGCACGAAAGCGUGGGUAUCGAACAGG